UUUACUGCCAUGUCAUCAGCCGAGUCAACAAAGAAACCCUACGUUUAUGUAAAAAAUAAACCGUACGUUCCUCUGCAUAGCUUCCGGCUCCGUUGAACACAGACGGUUUCAAGGGCAGGAUGUCGGGAUUUCGCCAUGCCGGUGUGUCCAAGAUUGGCGUUAGAUCCAUCACCUGUUACCGCCAGAUCCGCCGCCUACGGAGUUGUCCCGCGGCCUUAAACGGUGGCUCCGAAACAGAGACCAACUCCGAAACCCUAGCUUCACGGAUCUGCUCAAGCCUCCAAUCGUCGCUUAGGUCUGAGAAUCACAAGCUGACGCACUCCCAAGAUGGCGGGGAAUAAGCUGGACCGAAGAGAAACAAACGAGAGAGAACCGCCAUCCCUCACCGUAGAUCCGUCGACACCAUCUCCGUCCAGCUACGACCUCUGAACUUCAUCACUGAAUCUGAAACGGUACAAGUUAUGUGUUUUUCGUGUGGUGUUCCUUAUUAAUUCAAUCUCCAUCAAUCAUCACUCAUUUUCGCCACCCUUAGCAUUCAGAAGUAUCUUCUGAUUAGCCAAUUAUAGCAGUGGAUCUCCCAGAUUCCUUUUAUCUCAGUACGUUCUUAUUUGUUUAUUCCUACAAAUCUACUUCUACUUCCUGUGUCCAUUUGUUUUCUUGAUCUUACGGCUCCUUUGUUAAAUUAUGUCAUAAAUGAUGAAUCUUUUUCUUCUUAUUGAAGACAUCACUAAGCAUAUAUAUUUACUAUAUCUUUACCAAUGUUAGCACAUGUAUGUAUCUGAUCUUAUUGUCUUGAUUCUGGUAGUUUAUUUGUUUUUUUUAAGCGUUUUCAGCGGUACUCAUACCAGCCACCGUGAUAACUAUCUCACUGGUGUCUCUGUUGGGGACUGUCCACGUUUAGGGUACAUCAAAGUUUAGAAAUUUGACGGGGUCAUUGCAUGUACACUUGGUGGAGUGCAGUCCCGCGUUGCAGAAAUUUCAGCACCAGAGCCUGAAGUGCACAGAUGAAAGUAGUUCGGAGAAGAAAGCUAUAAGUUCACUAGCUGGGAAACCUGUGCACUGGCACGCUACUCUUGAAGAGGUACCAUUAGGAGUACCAACAAUAAUCAUAGCUCAUGAGUUCUAUGAUGCUCUUCCAGUUCAUCAGUUACAGGUUUGUGUGAUUUGCAAUAUAGUCUUCUCAUUUUUCCAGCUUGUGCUUCUCUUUCUGGCUAUUUUCUAUGUUCUGUGUAUGUUGCUUUCAAAGCAGUUCAUCUUGAAGAAACAACAUGAAGCUAUCCAGAAGCAACAAGGUCAGUCUUACGCACCUAUUGAGGAGACGGAUGAGAGUCUUCAUGUAGCGACAAGCGGAGGAUCACAUGGGCACGGGGAGUUUGAAUUCAGCGAGAUCUUUGUGCAUCAGUUUUUUCACACCAUAGAAUUUUUUACUUAGAGCUGUUUCCAACACCUCUUCUUACCUGCGUAUAUGGGCUCUCAGUCUUGCACACUCGGAGAUAUCGUCAGUCUUCUAUGAGACUAUGAGAAGGUCGUCCUUCUCGCUUGGGGUACAACAAUGUGUUGAUCCUGAUCGUUGGGAUCAUUGUUUUCAUAUUGUGGGAUUGCUGCUGGUGAUAGAGACACUGAGCACGUUCCUUCCCGCACUGCGUCUCCACUUGGUGGAGUUUCAGAACAAAUUCUACGCUCAUUUCUCUUUCGUUCUCACCGGAAACGAAGACGAUUGAUAGGGAUGAAUGAUUGUUCCAUUCCCCUCCCAUUCUCUGCAAAAUUUGCAUAUAUAAAAAAGGAACGAGACAAACCAAGUUUUAUUUGUUUUCUGCGAAUAUAUUUUUCCCCUUCCACAUUCAGGGUGGGCGGAAUUAAAUAUGUUUAUUUUGUUUGCCUGUCUGGAGAUUAGAUUUUUUUAAACAACAGUGGAGAAGGGGCUAAUGGAAUUUGUACGAGGUAAACUCAUUUGUUGAUGUGUUUGUUUGGAGUUAAAUACGUGAGGAUUUGUUUCCACUUACUAUACA
Long non-coding RNA from Brassica napus (rape), 2009 nucleotides. RefSeq lists it as uncharacterized. NCBI's taxonomy places the organism in Eukaryota, Viridiplantae, Streptophyta, Magnoliopsida, Brassicales, Brassicaceae. The transcript has 5 exons. The record is from RefSeq and is a predicted model, not a curated record.